This 507-nucleotide ribosomal RNA is filed under the name Escherichia coli. Its description in RNAcentral is "bacterial SSU rRNA". It matches the Rfam family "Bacterial small subunit ribosomal RNA", at positions 1019 to 1526 of the family's 1533-position model. Lineage: Bacteria; Pseudomonadati; Pseudomonadota; Gammaproteobacteria; Enterobacterales; Enterobacteriaceae. RNAcentral also lists the same sequence under 1 other name. The record is from RNAcentral.
UUCGGGAACCGUGAGACAGGUGCUGCAUGGCUGUCGUCAGCUCGUGUUGUGAAAUGUUGGGUUAAGUCCCGCAACGAGCGCAACCCUUAUCCUUUGUUGCCAGCGGUCCGGCCGGGAACUCAAAGGAGACUGCCAGUGAUAAACUGGAGGAAGGUGGGGAUGACGUCAAGUCAUCAUGGCCCUUACGACCAGGGCUACACACGUGCUACAAUGGCGCAUACAAAGAGAAGCGACCUCGCGAGAGCAAGCGGACCUCAUAAAGUGCGUCGUAGUCCGGAUUGGAGUCUGCAACUCGACUCCAUGAAGUCGGAAUCGCUAGUAAUCGUGGAUCAGAAUGCCACGGUGAAUACGUUCCCGGGCCUUGUACACACCGCCCGUCACACCAUGGGAGUGGGUUGCAAAAGAAGUAGGUAGCUUAACCUUCGGGAGGGCGCUUACCACUUUGUGAUUCAUGACUGGGGUGAAGUCGUAACAAGGUAACCGUAGGGGAACCUGCGGUUGGAUCAC